Molecule: ribosomal RNA, 427 nt
Filed under: uncultured bacterium
Lineage: Bacteria
Description: partial 16S ribosomal RNA
Rfam family: Bacterial small subunit ribosomal RNA
Source: RNAcentral
UGGGGAAUAUUGCACAAUGGGCGCAAGCCUGAUGCAGCCAUGCCGCGUGUAUGAAGAAGGCCUUCGGGUUGUAAAGUACUUUCAGCGGGGAGGAAGGCGAUAAGGUUAAUAACCUUGUCGAUUGACGUUACCCGCAGAAGAAGCACCGGCUAACUCCGUGCCAGCAGCCGCGGUAAUACGGAGGGUGCAAGCGUUAAUCGGAAUUACUGGGUGUAAAGCGCACGCAGGCGGUCUGUCAAGUCGGAUGUGAAAUCCCCGGGCUCAACCUGGGAACUGCAUCCGAAACUGGCAGGCUAGAGUCUUGUAGAGGGGGGUAGAAUUCCAGGUGUAGCGGUGAAAUGCGUAGAGAUCUGGAGGAAUACCGGUGGCGAAGGCGGCCCCCUGGACAAAGACUGACGCUCAGGUGCGAAAGCGUGGGGAGCAAACA